GCAGGGGUGGUCGAGUGGUUAAUGGCACCGGGCUGUAAACCCGGCAGGCUAACGCCUUACGUAGGUUCGAAUCCUACCCCCUGCACCA
RNAcentral lists this transfer RNA (88 nucleotides) under Acidobacteriota bacterium. RNAcentral describes it as "tRNA-Tyr". It matches the Rfam family "tRNA". From Rfam's summary of the family: Transfer RNA (tRNA) molecules are approximately 80 nucleotides in length. The record is from RNAcentral. Lineage: Bacteria; Pseudomonadati; Acidobacteriota. RNAcentral also lists the same sequence under 4 other names.